AAAUCUUAAAAGAAUAUUAUAAUGAAAAAUAUUCUAAAAAAUCUUUAAAAAAUAUUAAAAUAAUAACAAAUAUAUCUUAAAUAAAUCUCAACCAAGUCCUAAUUUAAUCCUAAUUGAAACCUUAAUAGACUUCAAUCAAAUCCUAGGCCAAAUCCUAAAUCCUAAGCAAAUUCUAAAUCCUAAAUCUUAAGCAAAUCCUAAAUUCUAAAUCCUAAGCAAAUUCUAAAUCAAAUCCUAAAUCCUAGUCCAAUCCUAAAUCAUAAUCAAAUCCUAAGAAAAUCCGAAAUUUUAAUCUAGUUCUAAAUUUUAACCAAAUUCUAAAUCCUAAUCAAAUCCUAAUCAAAUUCUAAUAAAAUUCUAAAUCCUAAUCCAAUCCUAAUCUUAAACCAAACCUUAACCAAAACCUAAUCAAUUCAACUUAAUCCUAAU
This 429-nucleotide long non-coding RNA is filed under the name Physcomitrium patens. RNAcentral's name for it is "long non-coding RNA (PPAT_LNC012816)". Lineage: Eukaryota; Viridiplantae; Streptophyta; Bryopsida; Funariales; Funariaceae. The record is from RNAcentral.